This 468-nucleotide ribosomal RNA is filed under the name uncultured bacterium. Its description in RNAcentral is "partial 16S ribosomal RNA". It matches the Rfam family "Bacterial small subunit ribosomal RNA", at positions 28 to 507 of the family's 1533-position model. The record is from RNAcentral.
GACGAACGCUGGCGGCGUGCUUAACACAUGCAAGUCGAACGGAAAGGCCCUGCUUUUGUGGGGUGCUCGAGUGGCGAACGGGUGAGUAACACGUGAGUAACCUGCCCUUGACUUUGGGAUAACUUCAGGAAACUGGGGCUAAUACCGGAUAGGAGCUCCUGCUGCAUGGUGGGGGUUGGAAAGUUUCGGCGGUUGGGGAUGGACUCGCGGCUUAUCAGCUUGUUGGUGGGGUAGUGGCUUACCAAGGCUUUGACGGGUAGCCGGCCUGAGAGGGUGACCGGCAACAUUGGGACUGAGAUACGGCCCAGACUCCUCCGGGAGGCAGCGGUGGGGAAUAUUGCACAAUGGGCGGAAGCCUGAUGAAGCAACGCGGCGUGCGGGAUAACGGCCUUCGGGUUGUAACCCGCUUUCGCCUGUGACGAAGCGUGAGUGACGGUAAUGGGUAAAGAAGCACCGGCUAACUACGUG